GACGAACGCUGGCGGCGUGCUUAACACAUGCAAGUCGAACGGAAAGGCCUGCUUUCCCUUGUGGCUUGCGGUUACUCGAGUGGCUAACGGGUGAGUAACACGUGAGUUAUCUGCCCCCAACUUUUGUAUAGGCCUGGGAAACUGGUUCUAAUUCCCGAUAGGACUGCAGUGUGGUGCCUGUAGUUUAGAACGAUUUUCAAGUGCUUGGGGAUGAGCUCGCUGCCUAUCAGCUUGUUGGUGGGGUAAUGGCCUACCAAGGCGGCGACGGGUAGCCUGCCUGGGAGGGUGGACGGGCACAUUGGGACUGAGAUACGGCCCAGACUCCUACGGCAGGCAGCAGUGGGGAAUAUGGCAUAAUGGGCGGAAGACUGAUGCAGCGACGCCGCGUGGGGGAUGACGGCUUUCGGGUGGUAAACUCCUUUUGACAGCGAGGAAGCCACCUGGUUGGAAGGGUGGUGACGGUAGUGGUAGAAGAAGCACCGGCUAACUACGUG
Molecule: ribosomal RNA, 494 nt
Filed under: uncultured bacterium
Lineage: Bacteria
Description: partial 16S ribosomal RNA
Rfam family: Bacterial small subunit ribosomal RNA
Source: RNAcentral